AAAAUCUCUGGGUGACAUCACGGAGGGUUUGUCCACUAUACAUACGAUGGUACUUCAGAAAGUUCUUGCCUCACCCAGAAAUGUCACAGGAGAAAGACUGUUCUUGUAUUAUUU
This is a long non-coding RNA of Thalassophryne amazonica, 114 nucleotides long. RefSeq lists it as uncharacterized. The transcript has 3 exons. The record is from RefSeq and is a predicted model, not a curated record. Lineage: Eukaryota; Metazoa; Chordata; Actinopteri; Batrachoidiformes; Batrachoididae.